Molecule: ribosomal RNA, 797 nt
Filed under: Elachistocleis araios
Lineage: Eukaryota; Metazoa; Chordata; Amphibia; Anura; Microhylidae
Description: partial small subunit ribosomal RNA
Rfam family: Bacterial small subunit ribosomal RNA
Source: RNAcentral
AUGCANGUAUCUGNNCCCCCGNGNANNCNNCCUCCNACCCCUUCAAAGGAAGAGGAGCUNGUAUCAGGCACAACACAAGCCCACGACACCUAGCUACGCCACACCCACAAGGGUACUCAGCAGUGAUAAACAUUGGUCAUAAGCGACAGCUUGAACCAGUUAAAGUAAAUAGGGCCGGCAAAUCCGGUGCCAGCCGCCGCGGCUACACCGUUGGGCCCAAAUUGAUAAAUACCGGCGUUAAGCGUGGUUAAAGUGAUCUUCUUAAUUAGAAUUAUACCGCCACCAAGUUGUGACACACUUGUUUAUGGGAGACCCUAAGACGAAAGUUAUUCUAAUCAACCCACUUGAAACCACGACAGCUAGGAAACAAACUGGGAUUAGGUACCCCACUAUGCCUAGCCGUAAAAUAUCAAAUUACACCAAAAACCGCCAGGGAAUUACGAGCCCAAGCUUAAAACCCAAAGGACUUGACGGUGCCCCAUCCACCUAGAGGAGCCUGUUCUAUAAUCGAUUUUCCCCGAUAUACCUCACCCCUUCUAGCCUCUCAGUCUGUAUACCUCCGUCGCAAGCUUACCAUGUGAACGAAACUAGUGAGCUUAAAGAUUUUUUUACCCAUACGUCAGGUCAAGGUGCAGCUUACGAAGCGGAAAGAAAUGGGCUACAAUUUCUAACUUAGAACAAACGAAAGACUACAUGAAAAACAGUCAUGAAGGCGGAUUUAGUAGUAAAAAGAAAGCAGAGUGUUCUUUUUAACAAGGCCCUGGGGCGCGUACACACCGCCCGUCACCCUCUUCNAA